Ochotona curzoniae (black-lipped pika) is the source of this 948-nucleotide long non-coding RNA. RefSeq lists it as uncharacterized. The record is from RefSeq and is a predicted model, not a curated record. The transcript has 3 exons. Lineage: Eukaryota; Metazoa; Chordata; Mammalia; Lagomorpha; Ochotonidae.
CGCUUGGUCACUUCCUGCGAGAUGCUGCGGCCUCGCACACUCAGUCAGUGAAGAGCCAGUGGAGAAAGAGGACAAGUCACUGGGUUCUCCAGAGUGGAACUGUUCUCUUGCCGAAGAUGUGCAGCAGGCUCCGGGAGAGGACGUAAGGGCUCAUGGACUCCAGCUGAAAAUCAUCCUGCCUGCUGUCCACCUGCCCCCCACCUGGGGAGGGUCUCGCAGUGGCUGCCAUGGUGGACCUGGGGCCAGCUAUGUGCGAGUUGGUGCCGCCCCCAGAGUGCCUGGUCUCUGAGCCUCGCUGCAGGACUUGAUAGACCCACUGGGCUUCAUCAGCACCAUCCGACCUGUUACUGAAAACACGGACACCUACAAGAUUGUUGGCAGCAAAGGAGGUGUUGAAAUGGUCACCAAAGAAAAGUAGCGGUCUAAAGUUAAUAUCUGCUUGGAAUAUCUGCCAACUGGGUGUCGCUUGAAUUCUCACUAUGAAAGAAUUCUCUACCCAUAGAGCUGUUCCAGUCUGGUGUCAGUAUUAUGGUGGAGCAGGUCGGAUGUCCAUCGAGACGCCCACGGGAGGUGGUGCUGGUGGCAGCGAGGGAGAGUCCUCCUCUCCAGAAGCACAACCUCUGCCCCCUGGAGCCCUCCAAGGUCCUCCAUGCUGGAGAAGCAGCUGCAUCUCUCCCCUCCUGCGCUGCAGGGCCCAGUGCUGUGAGGGGCCCCAGGCCCUGUUGGGCAGUGCAGAAUUUCUCCAGGGCGAGGAAAGGAAGCACAGCGAGGCGCCCUGGGGUCGGAGAAGAGGAAGAAAAGGGUCCCCAUUGGUGGAGAAAUCCUGCGUGGUGCUGAGGGUGCUGAGGUGGAGCAAUUGGCCGCAUGGUCAGUUCCUGCAAGGUGCUGUGGCCCCGCACCCUCAGUCAGUGAAGAAGCAGCAGAGGAAGAGGACACACUGCUGGGCUC